AGCAUGGUAAUGCGAUUAUGCACUUCUUGCCUCAUGGUCGGACUGUCGCUCUGUGGACGGAGUGCUUGGUGUCUGCCAGCCAGUGUGAAGCUCCGACUUCAAAGCUCACGAUUUAGGAGCGGGAACUCUCAGUUGCUGUCCCACAGAAUAUCCUGAGGAACUGGGGGAGGAGCCACCCAGCAUCAGGUCAAAUGUGGCAGCUCCUUCUACCACCAUGGUCCUCGUGGAUGAGGGAACUGAUGAAAACGGUGUGUGUACAGAAAUCAUCACCCCAGUGACGAACAGUCAGGGUGAGAAGAAGAAGGUGGGUCUUCCUUGCUGGCAUUGGUUGGCGAGCAGCCGGAUCCAGGGCUCCUUUUGGAAAGUGGGUUGGGGGUGUAGAGCACGAGGCUCUUUCCCAGUCAUAGCGAUGCCCAAGUCGUACAU
This 426-nucleotide long non-coding RNA is filed under the name Sus scrofa (pig). Its description in RNAcentral is "lncRNA (ENSSSCG00070025346.1)". Lineage: Eukaryota; Metazoa; Chordata; Mammalia; Artiodactyla; Suidae. The record is from RNAcentral.